GUGGGUACAGCUCAAGUGGUAGAGCGCAUGCUUAGCAUGCACGAGGUCCUGGGUUCAAACCCCAGUACUUCCU
Molecule: transfer RNA, 73 nt
Filed under: Camelus bactrianus (Bactrian camel)
Lineage: Eukaryota; Metazoa; Chordata; Mammalia; Artiodactyla; Camelidae
Also listed under: 1 other name
Rfam family: tRNA
About the family: Transfer RNA (tRNA) molecules are approximately 80 nucleotides in length. Their secondary structure includes four short double-helical elements and three loops (D, anti-codon, and T loops). Further hydrogen bonds mediate the characteristic L-shaped molecular structure. tRNAs have two regions of fundamental functional importance: the anti-codon, which is responsible for specific mRNA codon recognition, and the 3' end, to which the tRNAs corresponding amino acid is attached (by aminoacyl-tRNA synthetases). tRNAs cope with the degeneracy of the genetic code in two manners: having more than one tRNA (with a specific anti-codon) for a particular amino acid; and 'wobble' base-pairing, i.e. permitting non-standard base-pairing at the 3rd anti-codon position.
Source: Rfam by way of RNAcentral